This 544-nucleotide long non-coding RNA is filed under the name Sorghum bicolor (sorghum). RNAcentral's name for it is "long non-coding RNA (SBIC_LNC011226)". Lineage: Eukaryota; Viridiplantae; Streptophyta; Magnoliopsida; Poales; Poaceae. The record is from RNAcentral.
AUUGUUAUUCUCUCUCUCUAAAAAGAUUCAAUGCAGAAGAGGCAUGGGUUAUGCAAAAAUACACGAGGAAAUAAAAAGGGGCAAGUGCCCGGAACCUCGAAAAAGAAAGAAAAAGAGUGAGACGAGAGGUAAAAAUGGACAAGUGUCCGAAGUAGAAUUAGGGGUACAAAGAUGCCCACUUGAGCGGAAAAAAUGGACAAGUGUCCGACAGUAGAAUUAGGGGUUUCUACUACCCAUCUAAAAAAAAGAGAAGAAGAUAGCCCAUGUUCUCCCAAAGCAAAGAUCAAAGAGGAGGAGAGAUAGCAAUAUAAAGAGCAAUGAGAACUAAAUUUUAUUAUCACUUAUGCAUUUUCACUAUCAUUUACUCCAUCACACAUGCACAUCUUGAUUUAAUUAUAUGCUGAGUUCUUUUGGAUCCAUGGCUCGAUUAGACAACAUAUGUAUGAGCUGUUUUCCACUCCUAUGAGCUCCACUUAAAUAUUCCAUUAGCUAUAGGUAAGUGAUAUCAUGGUAAGGAUCCACAAAUACCACAUAUAGAGAGACU